This 253-nucleotide ribosomal RNA is filed under the name uncultured bacterium. RNAcentral's name for it is "partial 16S ribosomal RNA". It matches the Rfam family "Bacterial small subunit ribosomal RNA", at positions 524 to 776 of the family's 1533-position model. The record is from RNAcentral.
UACAGAGGUCUCAAGCGUUGUUCGGAUUCAUUGGGCGUAAAGGGUGCGUAGGCGGCGCGGUAAGUCGGGUGUGAAAUCUCGGAGCUUAACUCCGAAACUGCAUUCGAUACUGCCGUGCUUGAGGACUGGAGAGGAGACUGGAAUUUACGGUGUAGCGGUGAAAUGCGUAGAUAUCGUAAGGAAGACCAGCGGCGAAGGCGGGUCUCUGGACAGUUCCUGACGCUGAGGCACAAAGGUCAGGGGAGCAAACGGG